AUUGAACGCUGGCGGCAGGCCUAACACAUGCAAGUCGAACGGCAGCACAGAAGAGCUUGCUCUUUGGGUGGCGAGUGGCGGACGGGCGAGUAAUGUCUGGGAAACUGCCCGAUGGAGGGGGAUAACUACUGGAAUCGGUAGCUAAUACCGCAUAACGUCGCGAGACCAAAGCGGGGGACCUUCGGGCCUCACACCAUCCGAUGUGCCCAGAUGGGAUUAGCUAGUAGGUGGGGUAAUGGCUCACCUAGGCAACGAUCCCUAGCUGGUCGGAAAGGAUGACAGCCACACUGGAACUGAGACACGGUCCAGACUCCUACGGGAGGCAGCAGUGGGGAAUAUUGCACAAUGGGCGCAAGCCUGAUGCAGCCAUGCCGCGUGUAUGAAGAAGGCCUUCGGGUUGUAAAGUACUUUCAGCGGGGAGGAAGGCGGUGAGGUUAAUAACCUUGCUGAUUGACGUUACCCGCAGAAGAAGCACCGGCUAACUCCGUGCCAGCAGCCGCCGUAA
Molecule: ribosomal RNA, 505 nt
Filed under: uncultured bacterium
Lineage: Bacteria
Description: partial 16S ribosomal RNA
Rfam family: Bacterial small subunit ribosomal RNA
Source: RNAcentral